RNAcentral lists this ribosomal RNA (636 nucleotides) under uncultured Marinobacter sp. Its description in RNAcentral is "bacterial SSU rRNA". It matches the Rfam family "Bacterial small subunit ribosomal RNA", at positions 870 to 1504 of the family's 1533-position model. Lineage: Bacteria; Pseudomonadati; Pseudomonadota; Gammaproteobacteria; Pseudomonadales; Marinobacteraceae. The record is from RNAcentral.
CGCCUGGGGAGUGCGGCCGCAAGGUUAAAACUCAAAUGAAUUGACGGGGGCCCGCACAAGCGGUGGAGCAUGUGGUUUAAUUCGACGCAACGCGAAGAACCUUACCUGGCCUUGACAUCCAGAGAGCUUUCCAGAGAUGGAUUGGUGCCUUCGGGAACUCUGGGACAGGUGCUGCAUGGCCGUCGUCAGCUCGUGUCGUGAGAUGUUGGGUUAAGUCCCGUAACGAGCGCAACCCCUAUCCCUGGUUGCUAGCAGGUAAUGCUGAGAACUCCAGGGAGACUGCCGGUGACAAACCGGAGGAAGGUGGGGAUGACGUCAGGUCAUCAUGGCCCUUACGGCCAGGGCUACACACGUGCUACAAUGGCGCGUACAGAGGGCUGCCAACUCGCGAGAGUGAGCCAAUCCCUUAAAACGCGUCGUAGUCCGGAUCGGAGUCUGCAACUCGACUCCGUGAAGUCGGAAUCGCUAGUAAUCGCGAAUCAGAAUGUCGCGGUGAAUACGUUCCCGGGCCUUGUACACACCGCCCGUCACACCAUGGGAGUGGAUUGCACCAGAAGUAGUUAGUCUAACCUUCGGGAGGACGAUUACCACGGUGUGGUUCAUGACUGGGGGUGAAGUCGUAACAAGGUAACCGUA